This 709-nucleotide ribosomal RNA is filed under the name uncultured bacterium. RNAcentral describes it as "bacterial SSU rRNA". It matches the Rfam family "Bacterial small subunit ribosomal RNA", at positions 79 to 784 of the family's 1533-position model. The record is from RNAcentral.
CUUGCUUCUCUUGAGAGCGGCGGACGGGUGAGUAAUGCCUAGGAAUCUGCCUGGUAGUGGGGGAUAACGUCCGGAAACGGACGCUAAUACCGCAUACGUCCUACGGGAGAAAGCAGGGGACCUUCGGGCCUUGCGCUAUCAGAUGAGCCUAGGUCGGAUUAGCUAGUUGGUGGGGUAAUGGCUCACCAAGGCGACGAUCCGUAACUGGUCUGAGAGGAUGAUCAGUCACACUGGAACUGAGACACGGUCCAGACUCCUACGGGAGGCAGCAGUGGGGAAUAUUGGACAAUGGGCGAAAGCCUGAUCCAGCCAUGCCGCGUGUGUGAAGAAGGUCUUCGGAUUGUAAAGCACUUUAAGUUGGGAGGAAGGGCAGUAAAUUAAUACUUUGCUGUUUUGACGUUACCGACAGAAUAAGCACCGGCUAACUCUGUGCCAGCAGCCGCGGUAAUACAGAGGGUGCAAGCGUUAAUCGGAAUUACUGGGCGUAAAGCGCGCGUAGGUGGUUCGUUAAGUUGGAUGUGAAAUCCCCGGGCUCAACCUGGGAACUGCAUUCAAAACUGACGAGCUAGAGUAUGGUAGAGGGUGGUGGAAUUUCCUGUGUAGCGGUGAAAUGCGUAGAUAUAGGAAGGAACACCAGUGGCGAAGGCGACCACCUGGACUGAUACUGACACUGAGGUGCGAAAGCGUGGGGAGCAAACAGGAUUAGAUA